ACAGCAAUUGAUAAAUUAAUGUUAUGGACGGCCAAUAGCUGGAAGAAGUGUGGUCCCGCACAGGUGAAUUUAGUAUUGCGAAUUCACUGUGAUCAAUUGCUGAUUACUUCAACUACUGAAAUCGUAGAAUCAAUAAGCAUGAGUAAUAAAAUUAAAGGAGUUUACAAAGACAACGCUUUGAUUUUAUUCAUCAGUCGAGCCCCUAAAGAAUUACGUAAAAUAAAGUUUCAAGUAAAAAUUAAUCCGAGUCACUGUUACCAGGAACUCAAUAAAUAUUUUCCUGUUAUUAAUCACAACUCUAUUCAGCCUAGCGAUAUUAUUACACCCCGUUAUUUAAAUGUCGACGAUGUAAUUUCCUACGUUUUGAAAACAAAAGAGCCUACAAAUGUGAUCUCAGAUUUACCGCCAUCGUUUAAAAAUUUCGUUCGACUCUGCCUUGUAGAUCCAACAUUUCCCAAAUUAGUACAAGAU
Molecule: long non-coding RNA, 471 nt
Organism: Papilio xuthus (Asian swallowtail)
Lineage: Eukaryota; Metazoa; Arthropoda; Insecta; Lepidoptera; Papilionidae
Exons: 3
Source: RefSeq, a predicted model, not a curated record